This 1280-nucleotide ribosomal RNA is filed under the name Cladophialophora bantiana. RNAcentral's name for it is "LSU rRNA". It matches the Rfam family "Eukaryotic large subunit ribosomal RNA", at positions 69 to 1423 of the family's 3401-position model. The record is from RNAcentral. Lineage: Eukaryota; Fungi; Ascomycota; Eurotiomycetes; Chaetothyriales; Herpotrichiellaceae.
CAGGGAUGCCUCAGUAACGGCGAGUGAAGCGGCAACAGCUCAAAUUUGAAAUCUGGCCUCUUGGGGUCCGAGUUGUAAUUUGUAGAGGAUGUUUCGGGUACCGCCUCGGUUUAAAUUUCUUGGAACAGAAUGUCAGAGAGGGUGAGAAUCCCGUCUUGAACCGGUGGUAGGGCCUAUGUGAAACUCCUUCGACGAGUUCGAGUUGUUUGGGGAAUGCAGCUCCAAAUGGGUGGUAAAUUUCAUCUAAAGCUAAAUAUUGGGCCCAGAGACCGAUAGCGCACAAAGUAGAGUGAUCGAAAGAUGAAAAAGCACUUUGAAAAAGAGAGUUAAACAGUAUGUGAAAUUGUUGAAAGGGAAGCGCUUACAACCAGACUUGAGCGCGGCGGUUCCCCCUUGCUUCUGCUUGGGUUACUCCGCCGUGUCCAGGCCAACAUCGGUUCUGGGGGUCGGUCAAAGGCCCUGGGAAUGUAUCUACCUACGGGUAGACUUAUAGACCAGGGUGUCAUGCGGCCUCCCGGGACCGAGGAACGCGCUCCGGCUCGGAUGUUGGCGUAAUGGUUGUCAGCGACCCGUCUUGAAACACGGACCAAGGAGUCUAACAUCUAUGCGAGUGUUUGGGUGUCAAACCCGGAACGCGAAAUGAAAGUGAACGGAGGUAGGAAGCUUCGGCUGCACUAUCGACCGAUCCUGAAGUUUACGGAUGGAUUUGAGUAAGAGCAUAGCUGUUGGGACCCGAAAGAUGGUGAACUAUGCCUGAAUAGGGUGAAGCCAGAGGAAACUCUGGUGGAGGCUCGCAGCGGUUCUGACGUGCAAAUCGAUCGUCAAAUUUGGGUAUAGGGGCGAAAGACUAAUCGAACCAUUAAGGACAGCCACUCGGUGGUUUAAGUGUGGCCCUGAAAGGGGGUGUGCAAGUGCCCAGAUUCUGGCCGCGACACUGUCAAAUUUGCGGGGACUCCCUUAAAGCUCCCAGGGACCGGCCUGGCCCGUGAAAGCGGGCUCGGGCACCGGGUUAACGACCCCGGGUAUGGUAACACCACUGGAGAUGCAACAAUGGGUAAUCUGCAGCCAAGUCCUAAGGGCAUUCAUGUCUAGGGAUGCAGUUCACAGACUAAAUGGCAGUGGGCUCGGUCACGCGAGCUUAAGACAUAGUCGGUCCCCCGGGGAGACCCGGGCGCAUACGCUAAAUCUGGUGGAAGAAUCCUGCUCUGCAGUUACCCCUGACCUGAACGGUGCGGGCACCUAGAGCCAUUGCCCAGGUGUCGGAGAAAUUCGCGUGUGCC